CCUACGGGAGGCAGCAGUGGGGAAUAUUGGACAAUGGGCGAAAGCCUGAUCCAGCAAUACCGCGUGUGUGAAGAAGGCCUUCGGGUUGUAAAGCACUUUAAGCAGGGAAGAAAAAAUUCAAGCUAACAUCUUGAGUCUUGACGGUACCUGAAGAAUAAGCACCGGCUAACUCUGUGCCAGCAGCCGCGGUAAUACAGAGGGUGCAAGCGUUAAUCGGAUUUACUGGGCGUAAAGCGUGUGUAGGUGGUUGGGAAAGUCAAUUGUGAAAGCCCCGGGCUCAACUCGGGAACUGCUUUUGAUACUGUCUGACUAGAAUUCGGUAGAGGGAGGCGGAACUCCAGGUGUAGCGGUGAAAUGCGUAGAUAUCUGGAAGAACACCAAUGGCGAAGGCAACCUCCUGGGCCUGAAUUGACACUGAGACACGAAAGCGUGGGGAUCAAACAGGAUUAGAUACCCUGGUAGUCCACGACGUAACGAUAGACACUACGUACGUACGGUUCGUCUCUGCGAGUCGGUGUCGUAGACGUACGACGAGUAGUUAGUCCGUCCGUGGGAGGUACGGCCGCGUAGUAGUUAAGUUAAAGUAGUUAGUUAGUAGNGNGAGAGNGCGACGGACGACGACGAGGGAGGAGG
RNAcentral lists this ribosomal RNA (633 nucleotides) under uncultured bacterium. RNAcentral's name for it is "bacterial SSU rRNA". The stretch from base 1 to 548 matches the Rfam family "Bacterial small subunit ribosomal RNA", at positions 338 to 873 of the family's 1533-position model. The record is from RNAcentral.